AAAAGACUAGAAGAAGAACCCAUCUUCUUCAAUUCUCCUUCCUUUGCCGUGAACCAAAAAAAAAAUUCUCAUUCUCCAUCUUUUCUCUUCUACACCAAAUUUUUUCAAAUUUCCACUUCCAAUCAUUUACCCAUUUUCUCCCAACGCCUUUCCAAAGUAGAAUUUGAAGAAAAGAAGAGGAAUUAAAGAGAAAAUUCAAGGUUGAGGAAGGGUGAAUAGUAAUAAAGUGUUGAAAAAUUUAAAGGUAUGUUAGGGGUUUUGCUGUAGGAAUAUUUCUUAUCAUUUUUAUGUGAAUAUUUAUGAAGAAUAUUGUAUUAAUAUGAUUUAUUUAUUUAUUUUUCAUGAAGAAGAAUGGAAGGGAAGAGUGGAAACUCUAAAGGGAAAGGAAAUGAAUAUUAGAAAAUUUUAAGCUAGAAAAUUUUAAGCUAGAAAAUUUUAAGCUUGUGGAAGAUUUUGGAAGGUUUAAGGUUUGUGCUCAACUUUAUUUGAAUAAAUUCAAUAAUUUGUUAAUUGGGUUUUAUUUGAAAAUUUUACUAUCUUAGUAAAACUAGAUCAAGUGAAUAAUAUUUUAGUUAUAUAGCAUGAUUAAAGUUUAAAGAAAUGAUAAAAUUUUGAAAUUAAUAUAUAAUUUGAGCAAAACUCAAGUUAUGGAUCAAGUGGAAUGUCUCUACUUUCUUUGAUGGGAUGUAAUUUGGCUAAGAUAUAAUAAUAAAAAAAAUAUUAGUCUAAAUAAAGAAUACUACUUUUUAUAUGUUAAACGUUGUAAAUUAGUUAAAUUAUGGUUGAAAGGAAGUUGUUGGAUAAAAAUAAAAAUUAAAAGAAAAAGAGAAAUAAAAUAUGGUGUAUCGUGAUAAAUAGAAAAAGAUAUUAGAUUAUAAAAAAAUAGUAAUAAUAAAAAUAAUAAUAGUUAAUUAAUUAAGGAUUAAAUUAUGAAUUUGUAAUUUAUGUAGUUGAAUUAAAUUAAUAGAUUUAUAUGAUAUGACAAUGUUUAAAAGCAGAGUUGUAAUAUGAUAAAAUAUUAUAGUUUGAAUAAUUGAAAGUUACACUGUAUUGAAAGUUUUUGUCCCCAUAUUUAAAUGUAUAAAUUAUUUAAAGUCUGACCCUAACAAGUUUGGUGGGAAUUGUGAGUUAGUUUAAGGGUGUGGCAUGCCAUAUACAGAUCUUGCAGUACUGCGCUACAGUUACACUGAUUGGUACCCUACAGGUAUGGCUGAUAUACUUUACCGCUACAGUUAUAGACUCUUUUGAGUCAUAACACUUUGUGCCCUAUAGAUAUAGUUUCCUUAUCUGAUUUAACAGUCCUAUUUAAAUUUAUAGGAGGCAAAAAGAAAAUAAAAAUAAUAAAUAAAAGUAUUAAGAGAAAAUAAAACUUUUGACAUGAUGAAGAAAAAGAAAAAGACUAUGAAAUUAAAAUCUAUAUAUAUGUGAAAUAAUAAUAUGAUUUAGAAUUAUUUCAAAUUAUUAGUUAUAUAGUUUAUUAUCAUUUGUUUGACUUAUGGUUAAUAAAUAAAUUUUGAUUUAAAUGUUUUAUUUAAAAAAAAAUUGAUUGACCACCACUAAAUAAUUUACUUAGCGCGUAGGAAUUUAUUUUUUCCCGCGCAAGUUGUAGAUCCAAGGAGCAAUAGAUCAAUAUCUGCAUCAACUCAGUCAGAGUUACAUCAUUACUAUCGUGCAUGCACAGGUUAAGCCUUGGAAUGAAGAAAAGUUUUAUGUUUUUACAGAAAAUGUAUGAUCAUGUAUGAGAUUUCACAGGUACACAGACAGGAUAGCAGGCUUACUACGAGUCCCGGCGACCUUAAGUCGAUCUGGAUCCUAGUGCCGGUGGCAGUUCGGUUUCCGGGCUGUUACAUGGAUAUAUUUUGUAAAUUUUAUAUAAAACUAAUUUUGGAAAUAUGGCAUGUACAUAAAGUUUUAGAGAUAAAGUUGUAUAUGGUUUGAAUUAGAUAUAUUUGAAAAUUUUAAUUUUGGUGUAAAUAUGGGUUAUUAGUAUAAGUUUUUGUGUUAAGAUUAAUAAGAUAGUUU
RNAcentral lists this long non-coding RNA (2022 nucleotides) under Manihot esculenta (cassava). Its description in RNAcentral is "long non-coding RNA (MESC_LNC002734)". Lineage: Eukaryota; Viridiplantae; Streptophyta; Magnoliopsida; Malpighiales; Euphorbiaceae. The record is from RNAcentral.